GCGAGUUUUGAAGCCGCGGGGCCGGGCGGCUGCAAUAUGGCGGAGGCGGAAGGGGAAAGCCUGGAGUCCUGGCUCAAUAAAGCCACCAAUCCUUCCAACCGCCAGGAGGACUGGGAAUACAUAAUUGGCUUCUGUGAUCAGAUCAACAAGGAGCUGGAAGGGCCACAGAUCGCCGUCCGACUGCUGGCCCACAAGAUCCAGUCCCCACAGGAAUGGGAGGCACUCCAGGCCCUGACGGUGCUGGAGGCAUGCAUGAAGAACUGUGGGAGGAGAUUUCAUAACGAAGUGGGGAAGUUCCGCUUUUUGAAUGAGUUAAUCAAAGUCGUCUCUCCAAAGUACCUGGGGGACAGGGUGUCUGAGAAAGUGAAGACCAAGGUUAUUGAGCUGCUGUACAGCUGGACCAUGGCCCUGCCAGAAGAAGCAAAGAUCAAAGACGCCUACCACAUGCUGAAGAGACAGGGCAUAGUGCAGUCUGACCCACCAAUUCCUGUGGAUAGGACGCUGAUCCCCUCUCCACCACCUCGUCCCAAAAACCCUGUUUUUGAUGAUGAGGAGAAGUCCAAGCUUUUAGCCAAGCUGCUGAAAAGCAAAAACCCAGAUGACCUGCAGGAGGCCAACAAGCUCAUCAAGUCCAUGGUGAAGGAAGACGAGGCACGGAUCCAGAAGGUGACCAAGCGUCUGCACACGUUAGAGGAAGUUAACAACAACGUGAGACUGCUCAGUGAGAUGCUGCUUCAUUAUAGCCAGGAGGACUCUUCGGACGGGGACAGAGAGCUGAUGAAGGUGGGACCGCCGACGGCAAAGGCUGCCUCCCAGGGCUGCGCUGUCCUCCAGGAGCUCAGCCAGCAUUUGCUGAGCACGUGCCUUGUCAGAGACACGGGCUGUGCACUUGGCAGUGUAUUCAUGACCUUACUCAUCUGCACAGCAGCCAUGUCAGUAGAGGGUGGCGUCCCCAUUUGCCUCCUAGGAUCAGCUGACUUGUCCAGGGUGUAAGGGCCAGAUGGAAACCUGAGUCUGACUCCAGAGACCACACCCUCGGUGCUCACCCCUGCUCUCUUCCUUUCCUUACUACCUUGGGGACAUCAAGACAGAGAGGCUUCCUUGUAACCCUGAUGCCCAUGUGGUGCAGGCCAUGGUUGGGUGGAUAUUUUGAGUUCUGAGGAACAUGCCAGCCUGGAAGGCAGGAGGGGACUGACUUCCCCUGACCCAUCCUGGUGACUGCUACCUAGACAAACAUCCUGGGUGAUGUGGUGUGGUGGUGGUGGCUGGUGGCAAGAAGAUGUGCGCUGUGAUCCCAGCUUUGCUGGUAAUUGACCGUGGCAAUUGGCAUAUCCCGGUCAUUUUCUGGGCAUGAACCCUGAAUGAAUCAGAUGAUCUCUAAGGGCCUUUGUGGUUUGAUUUUUAUGUCCGAGUCUCUUUCAGGAGCUGUUUGAUCAGUGUGAGAACAAGAGGCGGACUUUAUUUAAACUCGCCAGUGAGACUGAGGACAAUGAUAACAGUUUGGGGGACAUCCUGCAGGCCAGUGACAACCUCUCCCGGGUCAUCAACUCUUACAAAACAAUUAUUGAAGGGCAGGUCAUCAAUGGCGAGGUGGCUACCUUAACCCUGCCUGACUCGGAAGGAAACAGUCAGUGCAGUAACCAAGGCACGCUCAUCGACCUUGCGGAGCUGGACACGACAAACAGUUUGUCCUCCGUGUUGGCCCCAGCACCCACUCCACCCUCCUCAGGCAUCCCAAUCCUCCCUCCACCACCCCAGGCCUCAGGACCUCCACGGAGCCGCUCCUCUAGCCAGGCCGAGGCCACCCUGGGGCCCAGCAGCACAAGCAACGCCCUCUCCUGGCUGGACGAGGAGCUGCUCUGCUUGGGUGCGGCCCACGGGGGCGUCAGGGGCAUCCCCUGACAGGGCUCUGGGAGGAAGGGUGUGUGGAAUUAGGAGCCCUGAGCGGGGCCCCAGUGUGACUGUUGGGGUGGGCAAAGAACCCUGAGUUGAAGGUACUCAGUGAAGUUCAGCGACCCUGAGGGCCCCAGGGCCAUCCUCCCGGUGAACUCUGCCUCCUGCCCUGCACCCCGCCCCGCAGGCCCCCCGCUUCUGCAUCGUGGACUGGAGGGCUCCAUUCCCCUCUGGAGGCUGCCUGCAGAACAGCUUCUCCCUGCGCCUUCACCCAUUGAUGUCACUUGUCACCUGACCCCUCCUCAGGCAAGGCGGGGCUAGGGCUGCCUAGCUUACAGCCUUUUCUCAUCCUGUUUUCUUCUCUAUUGUCAGGCCUCGCCGACCCAGCCCCUAAUGUUCCUCCCAAAGAGUCAGCUGGGAACAGCCAGUGGCACCUGCUCCAGGUAGGGGCACAGGAUCGGUGACAGCACUACUGUGCCAAGGACCUCCACUUUCCAGCGUCAUGUCUCCUGGGCUGCAGUUAGCUGUCCUUCCCCUCCAGAGCGUGCCAGCUGCAGCGGGGAACAAUGAGUGCCUCCGGGGCUGUCUUCCAUGCAGUCCUUGGAGGGCUGCGCCCCGUUCCAGCGGCAGGCCCUCCCCACCCGCCCCCGGCUCACCACCCUUUCUGUUGCUCAUAGAGGGAACAGUCCGACCUGGACUUCUUCAGCCCCAGGCCGGGGACCGCUGCCUGUGGCGCCUCCGACGCUCCUCUGCUCCAGCCCUCAGCCCCCUCCUCAAGCAGCUCCCAAGCUCCACUGCCGCCUCCCUUCCCAGCUCCUGUGGUCCCAGCCAGUGUUCCUGCCCCCAGUGCGGGCUCCUUCUUGUUUUCUACUGGAAUGGCCCCAGCCUUGGCCCCAAAAGUUGAGCCCGCAGUCCCUGGGCACCAUGGCUUGGCGUUGGGCGACAGCGCGCUGCACCACCUGGAUGCCCUUGAUCAGCUUCUAGAAGAGGCCAAAGUGACCUCGGGCUUGGUGAAACCCACUACCUCCCCUCUCAUCCCCACCACCACCCCAGCCAGGCCCCUCCUGCCCUUCUCCACGGGGCCCGGCAGCCCGCUCUUCCAGCCACUGAGUUUCCAGUCCCAGGGCAGCCCCCCGAAAGGGCCUGAGCUCUCCCUGGCCAGCAUCCACGUGCCCCUGGAAUCGAUCAAGCCUAGCAGUGCCCUUCCUGUGACAGCCUACGAUAAAAACGGCUUCCGCAUCCUCUUCCACUUUGCCAAGGAGUGUCCCCCAGGACGACCUGACGUGCUGGUGGUGGUGGUGUCCAUGCUGAACACGGCUCCCUUACCUGUCAAGAGCAUCGUGCUGCAGGCUGCAGUGCCCAAGUCAAUGAAAGUGAAGUUGCAGCCACCUUCUGGGACAGAACUCUCUCCAUUUAGCCCCAUCCAGCCACCUGCAGCCAUCACCCAGGUCAUGUUGCUGGCCAAUCCACUGAAGGAGAAGGUGCGGCUUCGGUAUAAGCUGACCUUCGCCCUGGGGGAGCAGCUGAGCACAGAGGUGGGCGAGGUGGACCAGUUCCCUCCUGUGGAACAGUGGGGGAACCUAUGACCCCAGAGGACGCUGUGAUCUCCACCUUGAAGCCAGGCAGGCUGCCCUGAGACGAGGAGGGCUCUGGUCCCGUCACUCUCCAUGCCCUGACAACAGUGCUUGUAGCUUUGAUGUGGAACAGGGGCCCUGGGCAUUUCUGCUGAGAACCAAACUGCUGCUGUGAUAACCUCUCCUUUGGCCCCUAAAAGGACCUGUUUUUAUCUACCUAUGUGACUUGAAGUGGCCAUAUGCUGUCAGGGGUGGGGAGUGGCCCCUGACUUCACUGCUGUCCCAGGAACAUGGACCCCCAGGCUUGGCGUAGGUGUUUGCUUCCUUCUACUGGCAUUCACUGAAGCCACUGGGGUGGGGGGUGGGAGUCUCUAAAGAGAGACUGUCAUGGGUCAUUCCCCACAAGAGCCACAUCCUCACACCUGACAGAUGCACGGCCCAAGGGGCUGCAGCCCUGUUGCAAUUCCAUGCUUCCCCCGCCAACCAGCUCCUGCUGCCAUCCCCAGGGAGGUGGCCCAGGAAGGUGCCUGGCCCAGAAUAAGGAACUGGCAUACUGCAAAGUCCCCAGCCCUGCCUCUGGUGUACAGCAUCAUCCUGGAAUGGCCACGGAGUGAUGAGUUGUGUGCUUGUCCCUGGCAGUGGCAGGCUGUGUCCUAUGGACAUCUUGGCAGGACAUGGAAUUUGGCCUCAUGACAGGCCCAACUAGGGAUAGGAAGGAAAAUGAAGAGAGCCAGUAUUUCCCCUUCUCCAGAAGCAGGUACUCAGCUUUCUGGGAAAAGUGUGCCUCCAGCCGUGGGGACAGGCCAUCCUACUGACUACCUCUUGCUUGGCAUGAAAUAAACUGCUAUCCUCCCCUUGGAAUCUACCGCCACUCUACAUCCUACUGCUUUGGCCUCCCUCUCCUCUCACCAGAUGGCAUGUGGUGUGGCACCUGUGGCUGGACACAGGAGGCCUCAGGAUCACAAAUGUUACACUAGACAUAUGUCCUAAUGUGCUGCCCAGAAACCUCAACUGUUCCCCAGCUACUGAGGGGCACUGUCAGCGAGAUGUUGGGUCUGGAGGUGAUGAGAUCGGGCCACACUUGAGCUGAGUCACCAGACCCUAUUGCUUCAACAGUGCUUGGCCCCCGCCAGCUUGUCCCAGCCACUCUAGCUGCUGGAUGUGAUCCUGGGACAUGUACUCCAAGCCUCCGUCACAAAAAAAAAAAAACACACACACACACAAAAAAACACCAGCUGCCAUAGACACGGGGGAAGCUUGCGGAGCCCAGGUGAACAAGCUCAGCAAUCGGACAUCUCUGGGGAAAGGAAGGUGGCACAGACCACAUUCCCUGGUUCCUCCCUGCCCCUUGCCAGGCUUCCUUAUUCCAUACUAUGGAAGAGGUCAUAUCCCUUCCCUGCCCCUCGCUGUCUUUAGCAAGCAGGUUUCACUGCUUCAAUAGAAGAGGACAAGUCAAAAGUGAAUCAUUUUUCACUACUUAAGGAAUAAAUCCAAGAGCUUUCCAGAGACUGGCUGCUGCAGCCCUGGGAAUGUCUAUGGAAUUACUAUGUGGAAAUGGAACUUUGUGUUAUGCUCUAGACAUUACAGUUAUUUGAGUGUUACUCGUUACUAUUGAGGUCAAUGCUUCAUGGCAAAUGGCUGUACUGGAUAUACCAACUCUGCUGCCCUUGUUUUGCUGCAUGUUAAAUAAAACCAUUUUCACU
RNAcentral lists this small RNA (5170 nucleotides) under Pan troglodytes (chimpanzee). Its description in RNAcentral is "retained intron". The record is from RNAcentral. Lineage: Eukaryota; Metazoa; Chordata; Mammalia; Primates; Hominidae.